CUAAACGACCAUAGCAAGGCGGUCCCACUCCUUCCCAUUCCGAACAGGACAGUGAAACGCUUUAGCGCCGAUGAUAGUUGGUUGUAUUUCCAGUGAAAGUAGGACAUCGUUUAGC
RNAcentral lists this ribosomal RNA (115 nucleotides) under Burkholderiaceae bacterium. Lineage: Bacteria; Pseudomonadati; Pseudomonadota; Betaproteobacteria; Burkholderiales; Burkholderiaceae. The record is from RNAcentral.